UAGAAGAAGGUGUCUGAGAAGGACAAUUGUCUAGAGAGGAGGUAUCGUCCAUCAAGAGGUACGGCAGCAGUUUUGGUAAGAAGAAAGAAGCAUAAAGUAAUGCAGUUUCGAAUGGGAGGCAAAGGAGGCCUCAGAUCAAAAGAAGUCAACCACCCUGUCAACAUCAUCAUCAAGUUUCUUCAGUAAUUCCUGUAUGUUCAGCAAAUCAAUCAACACCAGUUCAACAACAACAACGUCAACAACA
RNAcentral lists this long non-coding RNA (244 nucleotides) under Lathyrus oleraceus (garden pea). RNAcentral describes it as "Pisum sativum (pea) long non-coding RNA (PSAT_LNC031938)". Lineage: Eukaryota; Viridiplantae; Streptophyta; Magnoliopsida; Fabales; Fabaceae. The record is from RNAcentral.